CAACCCCCACCCCACCCACCUCUCCCCGUUGCCCACCUCCUGCCCAUGGCGCGCCACCCAAACCCCCCGCGCCACCUCCGGACCUCCCAUCCCUCGUAUCGUCUGGCCCCUCCAUGGGCCGCCGUCGUCGCCCACCCCUCCCCAUGCCCACCGCAGCCCUCCCCACCCCAGGCCAGCGCCGCAUGCCCCUCCCGAGGCCCCUAGCUGCUCGCGCCUCCCCAGAAUAUAAUGUGUUAGCGCGAUCCAGCCGCCUUCCUACGCCCACACCACAUGCUUCAUCCACACCACCGCCCCCCAUCCUUCAUCCUGUGCCGCUGCGUCGCCAUCCAUGUCGGGCCUCCGCCCACAUCUCUCUGAUUGCCAUAUUGAGUCGCCCCGGCCUCGCUCGUCAUCAGAUCGAGUCGCGCCAGCCUCCUUUGUCGCCACAUCGAGCCGCCCUCGCCUCUAUCUGCCGGAUCUGUAGGGCGACGACCUCGCGUGCCUCCAUCGGACCUUGCCAGCUCUGCCCGACCCCGUGCUCCUCAACCGCUCUCCUCCAUAGGCGGUGAGCCCUGGUAAAUCGAUCUGGGGCGCAGACUUCAUAGUCAGCAGCGGCCAUGGCGACCGUCGCUUGUGUCAUCCUCCAACAACUCAAGUGGUCGCCGACCGAUUUGUGGCCUCCCUCCUAUGUUGUCAUCCACCUCCUCAAAUGUCCGCCGACCGAUCUGGACACCAACAUAUAUGAGCCAGGAGGAGGAACUCUCAUCGGGACGGACGCUCGCCGACCAGAUUCUUGUCUCGGUGACCACCACCUCUCGUCGGUGCUCCUCUACAUCAUCAACGAAAACAAAAAGCAGCAUCGGCACUCCCCCAAGCACAGUUCACCUCUCGUUCCUUGAACCAUGGAUGCUUGCUAGAGGGACAGAGGAGGUGCUCUCAUGGAUGGGAGUCAUACCAUGACCAUGCAGUCCACAGCGCACCGCAACAAUCCCACAUAUGUUCACAACAUCCUAUUUUUCAUUUUUGUAAAAACAAUUUGUUGUGCACUUAGUAUUGGAGAAGAGAUAAUCAUUGUUCCUUUAAAAGAAGUUCAUUUGGUUGUUCGAUAAAAUGUAGAGAGGAAAUGAGUGUAAAAUAUGGAUGUGGAUGAAUGCUUGUGUGUAAUGUGUAGCGUGCAAAUAAAAAAUGCAGUGCACAAAAAAGAGAAAAUGCAGUUUCACUAUUUUCUUGAA
Molecule: long non-coding RNA, 1211 nt
Organism: Hordeum vulgare subsp. vulgare (domesticated barley)
Lineage: Eukaryota; Viridiplantae; Streptophyta; Magnoliopsida; Poales; Poaceae
Exons: 2
Source: RefSeq, a predicted model, not a curated record